AACGAACGCUGGCGGCAGGCUUAACACAUGCAAGUCGAACGAGCUGGGGGCUUCGGUCUCCGAUGCUAGUGGCGCACGGGUGAGUAACACGUGGGAAUAACCUCCUUAGUACUGAAUAAUCACGGCAAACUUUUGCUAAUACCGCAUACGCGCUUCUGGUGCUAGAUUUAUCGCGAUAGAAUUAUCCCGCGUCUGAUUAUGUAGUUGGUGAGGUAAUGGCUCACCAAGCCGACGAUCAGUAGCUGGUCUGAGAGGAGGAUCAGCCAGACUUGGACUGAGACACGGACCAGUCUGCUACGGGAGGGAGCAGUGGGGAAUAUUGGGCGAUGGGGGCAACUCUAGUCCAGCCAUGCGGCGUGAGAGAAGAAGGCCUUUGGAUUGUACAUCUCUUUCGACGGGGACGAUGAUGACGGUAACCGUAUAAGAAGCCCCGGCAAACUUCGUG
RNAcentral lists this ribosomal RNA (445 nucleotides) under uncultured bacterium. RNAcentral's name for it is "partial 16S ribosomal RNA". It matches the Rfam family "Bacterial small subunit ribosomal RNA", at positions 29 to 507 of the family's 1533-position model. The record is from RNAcentral.